AUCAACUCAUAGGUACCACAGAUAACUUUGCCAAAGAUCUCUGACAAAGUUUAGAUACGUGAAGCUUGCAGCUCCCACUACAUCGCUAUGACCAAGAAGGAUAAAAGAAUAGCAAAGAAACAGCACUUAACAAAGUUUAGACACAUAAAUUUUGAAGGUCUAGCUACUAUAUUAUUACCCACAUGGGUAAAGGAACAGCACCACUGCUGGAUAAUUGGAAAGUCCCUGU
Molecule: long non-coding RNA, 229 nt
Filed under: Malus domestica (apple)
Lineage: Eukaryota; Viridiplantae; Streptophyta; Magnoliopsida; Rosales; Rosaceae
Description: long non-coding RNA (MDOM_LNC017482)
Source: RNAcentral